This 619-nucleotide ribosomal RNA is filed under the name uncultured fungus. Its description in RNAcentral is "eukaryotic LSU rRNA". It matches the Rfam family "Eukaryotic large subunit ribosomal RNA", at positions 24 to 664 of the family's 3401-position model. Lineage: Eukaryota; Fungi. The record is from RNAcentral.
CCCGCUGAACUUAAGCAUAUCAAUAAGCGGAGGAAAAGAAACUAACAAGGAUUCCCCUAGUAACUGCGAGUGAAGCGGCAACAGCUCAAAUUUGAAAUCUGGCCCUCGGGUCCGAGUUGUAAUUUGUAGAGGAUGCUUUUGGCGCGGUGCCUUCCGAGUUCCCUGGAACGGGACGCCUUAGAGGGUGAGAGCCCCGUACGGUUGGACACCAAGCCUCUGUAAAGCUCCUUCGACGAGUCGAGUAGUUUGGGAAUGCUGCUCUAAAUGGGAGGUAAAUUUCUUCUAAAGCUAAAUAUUGGCCAGAGACCGAUAGCGCACAAGUAGAGUGAUCGAAAGAUGAAAAGCACUUUGAAAAGAGGGUUAAAUAGCACGUGAAAUUGUUGAAAGGGAAGCGUUUGCGACCAGACUUUUUCCUAGCGGAUCAUCCGGUGUUAUCACCGGUGCACUUUGCUAGGUCAAGGCCAGCAUCGGUUUUGGUGGUUGGAUAAAGGCCUAGGGAAUGUAGCUCUCUGCGGGGAGUGUUAUAGCCCUAGGUGCAAUGCAGCCCACCGAGACCGAGGACCGCGCUCCGGCUAGGAUGCUGGCGUAAUGGUUGUAAGCGACCCGUCUUGAAACACGG